Bombyx mori (domestic silkworm) is the source of this 690-nucleotide long non-coding RNA. RefSeq lists it as uncharacterized. NCBI's taxonomy places the organism in Eukaryota, Metazoa, Arthropoda, Insecta, Lepidoptera, Bombycidae. The transcript has 3 exons. The record is from RefSeq and is a predicted model, not a curated record.
ACUUCCGCCCUCCACUGGGGAUGGAGGGCGGGGCAUGUCAGAGUCGAACUGACUAAAACCUCCUGUCGCUCAACAACCAACGUCCAAACCUCGCAUGAGACAGAACUCAUGAAGAGGCAGAGGGGAGAAAGUGAAGCGUUUAGUGCGGAGCACAUCUCUCCCAUCACCCUCUCCCUCGGGAAGCCGGAUCGGCGGUCGUCGGCGUCACGACCACCAGCCCUCUCGGUGUAAUAGAAAGAAACGCGUGUUGAAACUUGUGUUGCCUUCAUUGAAUCGAAGGACGGAAAAAGAAGGAAAUCGAUACAGAAAUGCAGGAAUAUUGGAUCGAAUUGCGACAUGUGUUGAAAAGUGGAUUCUUUACGAUAACCUCGUCCACUGCUGGCCAUAAGCCCCCCCAAGUCUCAUCACAAAGACCGGUCCUGCGCUGCCUGCAUCCAGCUGAUUCCCGCGAAGCUCAAUAGGUCAUCGGUCCAUCUUGUGGGAGGCCUACCCACGCUAUGUCUUCCAGUACGGGGUCGCCACUCAAGAGCUUUUCGGUCCCAAUGGCCAUCAACCAUCGUGUGUUUGGCGAUGAGUUAUAAAAUACGACAAAUUAAAGGAAAAAUCUCAGAAGUCUUAGCAUGGGUAUGUUAUGUUAUACACCAAUUUAAAGAAGUUAAAGAUGAAUGUUAAUAAAACAAAAUAUAAUAA